GCUAAGAAUCUUCCGCAAUGGGGGGAACCCUGACGGAGCGACGCCGCGUGGACGAUGAAGGCCGUAAGGUUGUAAAGUCCUUUUGCGGGCGAAGAAUAAGGAAGGGAGUGGAAAGCCCUUCUGAUGACGUUAGCCCGCGAAUAAGCCCCGGCCAAUUACGUGCCAGCAGCCGCGGUAAUACGUAUGGGGCGAGCGUUGUUCGGAGUUAUUGGGCGUAAAGGGCGUGUAGGCGGCCCGACAAGUCUGGUGUGAAAUCGCAGGGCUCAACCCUGCGGGUGCGCUGGAAACUGACGGGCUAGAGUUCCGGGGGGGAAGCUGGAAUUCCUGGUGUAGGAGUGAAAUCUGUAGAGAUCAGGAAGAACACCGGUGGCGAAGGCGAGCUUCUAUUCGAGGACUGACGCUGAGGCGCGAAAGCGUGGGGAGCAAACAGGAUUAGAAACCCUAGUAGUCC
This 451-nucleotide ribosomal RNA is filed under the name uncultured bacterium. Its description in RNAcentral is "bacterial SSU rRNA". It matches the Rfam family "Bacterial small subunit ribosomal RNA", at positions 354 to 796 of the family's 1533-position model. The record is from RNAcentral.